Molecule: ribosomal RNA, 332 nt
Filed under: Didymium difforme
Lineage: Eukaryota; Evosea; Eumycetozoa; Physariida; Didymiaceae
Description: SSU rRNA
Rfam family: Bacterial small subunit ribosomal RNA
Source: RNAcentral
UAAAGUAAAAAACUGAGGAAGGCCCUCUUUAAUCUUUAUUAACUGGUUAUCUUGAGUUCUGGAGACGGUUUAUUGAACUUCUUACGGAAGGGUAAAAUUGUUGAUAAUGAAGGACAUUCGAUGGCGAAAGCAGUCACCGAUCCAGAUCUGACGCUAUGUACUAAAGCAUGGGUAUGAAACGGAUUAGAGACCGUGUAGUCCAUGCCUUAAACUUGAGUGUUAAACAUCUUUAGUUUUCUUGUUUGAGGAAUCCGGGUGGACCUCAAACCGAGAUCUAUGGGGAUUUUAAGCUAACGCGUAAAACACCGCCUGAGGAAUGUGGCCGCAAGGUU